Molecule: ribosomal RNA, 468 nt
Filed under: uncultured bacterium
Lineage: Bacteria
Description: partial 16S ribosomal RNA
Rfam family: Bacterial small subunit ribosomal RNA
Source: RNAcentral
GACGAACGCUGGCGGCGUGCUUAACACAUGCAAGUCGAACGGAAAGGCCCUGCUUUUGUGGGGUGCUCGAGUGGCGAACGGGUGAGUAACACGUGAGUCACCUUCCCUUGACUUUGGGAUAACUUCAGGAAACUGGGGCUAAUACCUGAUAGGAGCUCCUGCUGCAUGGUGGGGGUUGGACAGUUUCGGCGGUUGGGGAUGGACUCGCGGCUUAUCAGCUUGUUGGUGGGGUAGUGGCUUACCAAGGCUUUGACGGGUAGCCGGCCUGAGAGGGGGACCGGCCACAUGGGGACUGAGAGACGGCCCAGACUCCUACGGGAGGCAGCAGUGGGGAAUAUUGCACAAUGGGCGGAAGCCUGAGGAAGCAACGCCGCGUGCGGGAUGAAGGCCUUCGGGGUGUAAACCGCUUUCGCCUGUGACGAAGCGUGAGUGACGGUAAUGGGUAAAGAAGCACCGGCUAACUACGUG